UACGUAGGGGGCAAGCGUUGUCCGGAAUCAUUGGGCGUAAAGCGCGUGUAGGCGGCUCGGUAAGUCCGCUCUGAAAGUCCAGGGCUCAACCCUGGGAUGCGGGUGGAUACUGCCGGGCUCGAGUCCGGAAGAGGCGAGUGGAAUUCCCGGUGUAGCGGUGAAAUGCGCAGAUAUCGGGAGGAACACCAAUGGCGAAGGCAGCUCGCUGGGACGUGACUGACGCUGAGACGCGAAAGCCAGGGGAGCAAACGGG
RNAcentral lists this ribosomal RNA (253 nucleotides) under uncultured bacterium. RNAcentral describes it as "partial 16S ribosomal RNA". It matches the Rfam family "Bacterial small subunit ribosomal RNA", at positions 524 to 776 of the family's 1533-position model. The record is from RNAcentral.